GCGGGUGUCGUAUAACGGCUAUUAUAGGGGCUUUCCAAGCCCGGGACGGGGGUUCGACUCCCCCCACCCGCACCA
RNAcentral lists this transfer RNA (75 nucleotides) under Candidatus Saccharimonadota bacterium. RNAcentral's name for it is "Candidatus Saccharibacteria bacterium tRNA-Gly". It matches the Rfam family "tRNA". Rfam says of the family: Transfer RNA (tRNA) molecules are approximately 80 nucleotides in length. Their secondary structure includes four short double-helical elements and three loops (D, anti-codon, and T loops). Lineage: Bacteria; Candidatus Saccharimonadota. The record is from RNAcentral.